This is a long non-coding RNA of Sebastes umbrosus (honeycomb rockfish), 559 nucleotides long. RefSeq lists it as uncharacterized. The transcript has 2 exons. The record is from RefSeq and is a predicted model, not a curated record. NCBI's taxonomy places the organism in Eukaryota, Metazoa, Chordata, Actinopteri, Perciformes, Sebastidae.
AGGAAGCUGCAAUAACAUAAGUCUGGUCACUAGGGGGCAGAAGAGCUCCAAAACAACCAGGUGAGCAGCCUCUUGUAUUUUGCCAUGAAGUAGAAUAAGUUUGUGCCAUUUUUAGGUUAAAUCAAGGAAGUGUCUCUGCUAACACUUCCCUCCUGCAGCCAGCAGAGACGAAGCAACAUUACCAUCCCAUUGGAGUCGCCUUUUUGGCCACCUGACGAAUAAGAAUGUUCCUCCAGAGCUUUUCUGCUCUUGCGGCCUGGCGUGGGACAGAUGACAAUACCCGAGGUGGGAUCGAUGCACAAUUUGCGCCCUCGAGUGCAGUACAUGUGAGGAAUGUGAAACGUCCCCUUCAUCUCACCCCUGGGUCUGACCCUUUAGUGUGGCCAUAUGCAAGUGGAGGAAAGGUUUGACUCACUGGGAUGAGAUGAGUGAAUCAUUUUUAUUAUCCAAAUACAUCUAAAUUGCACUGAGUUGGCUGAAUUAAAAAGUCUUGUUAUAAGCUGUUAGCUGUGUACAUGGGCUAUGCAGCAAAGCAGUGAGGUAAACAAGACCAAGCAGA